Molecule: small RNA, 723 nt
Filed under: Pan troglodytes (chimpanzee)
Lineage: Eukaryota; Metazoa; Chordata; Mammalia; Primates; Hominidae
Description: processed transcript
Source: RNAcentral
AGCAUUGUGCCUGGCACACAGUAAGUAUGCAGUCACUGUUAUUAUUUUAAAAAUUAGCUAACUUCUCUCACGGUGUCCUCCCAAUAUGCACCUUUUGCUCCUAGUGUCCAGAUACCUAGCUUUGUAUCAUUAUUUUUUCUGAUGCCCACUUUUUUUUCUUUUUUAAAUGUCUAUAGCAGUUUUAUUUUAUUAUUUAUUUUAGAUUCAGGAGGUACAUGUGCUUGUUUGUCAUAUGGAUAUAUUGCAUACUGGUGGAGAUUGGGCUUCUAGUGUACCUGUAACUCAAAUAGUGAACAUUGUACCUGAUAGACAAAGCCCUGGACUUCCCCGGGUUCCUGGACAUGAUGGCACCUCGACUCAGGCCGAUGCGUCCACCACCUCCCCCGCCGGCUAAAGCCCCGGAUCCUGGCCACCCAGAUCCCCUCACCUGAAGGCCAGGGAAGCCUUGACCCCCAGUGAUGCUGCUGUCCCUAUCUUCAAGCUGUCAGACCACACCAUCAAUGAUCCAGAGCAACACAGCCAAAAGCUGGAAUCGCCCUUAUUUCCACCCUCACCUCCAAGGGUGGAAACUUGCCCCUUCCCAUUUCUGGAGCUGGAACCCACUCCUUUUUUUCCCAUUGUUCUAUCAUCUCUAGGACCGGAACUACUACUUUCUCUUCUGUCAUCACCCUAUCUAGGGUGGUGAAAUGCCUGAAAUCUCUGGGGCUGGAAACCAUCCAUCAA